Molecule: long non-coding RNA, 3138 nt
Organism: Glycine soja
Lineage: Eukaryota; Viridiplantae; Streptophyta; Magnoliopsida; Fabales; Fabaceae
Exons: 2
Source: RefSeq, a predicted model, not a curated record
CUCAAUCUUCUAUCAGCUCGCACACAAUGUUCCUGCUGCAUCCGGUGCUUCUUCAUUCCACCCUUUUCCAUUUCCAAAUUUUAAAAAAAUUUCAAAUUCAAAAAUCCAGUCUAUAGUUUGGCUAGGUUCUAGGCUAUGCCCAUUCUAUAGUCUGAUAUGAUUGAUUCACGUCGCCAAACUAUUGUGACAGAGAGAGGCUGUGAAACAUUGUGUAAUAUUGUGAAUAGUUGCAUGUUCCGCAACCUAACCAAAAUCCUGUAUUUUCAUUCUCCGAUGUAUAGAGGUUGUCCACUUGUGUUGCUUGAAGAAACUGACUUCAUUUGGUAAGGUUCUUUGUAUAUAUCUAUUGAUGCUCUUGGACCACAUUCUUUUUUGGUUUGUUUCAUUAUUUUGUGUUGUUGCCUUUCUAUUUGCAGUAUCCUCUUCACUAUCUUAGUGUUCAUGUUGAUGUCUUCGUUCCUUUUAAAAAAUUCGUUUUAUUUGCAUGCUUGAUGCUUUAAUGGUUAUCUAUGUUAGUAGUUGAUCAUGGCACGUAAGCUGAACUCCAUUAUGGAAAUCACUGCUCAAAAGGAGGCUUGGAAAGUAAGUGUGUGUGUGUGUGUGUGUGUGUGGAUUAUUCAAAGGACUGCAAUGAUUAACAUUGAAAUGAUCUUGAUGGAUGAGAAGGUAUAAUAUAAAUUAUUCAUGUAUAUUGUCAAAUAAUUUCCACCUGAUAUCACAGUUUUUAAUUUUAAUAUUUGCAUAGGCUGAUAAGAUUGAUGCUCAAAUUAAAAAUGUUGAUCCUGGUAAGUGGAAUGAUGUUGUUAAAAUGGGUAAGACAUAGAUGAUACAAAAUUUUGAAGUUGAAAAGAAUAUUGGACAAUUUAGGCCAACAAAGCAUGCCUUUAAAUUGAACUUUGUCAAUUCUACAAAAGUAAGAGAGCAAGAUUUUCCAAUGAUACCAGAAAUGGUGCAUGAUUUUACACUAUUUGAUGAUGUUCUUAUUGGCAGUGCCAAUCCUGACUACUUAAUAGGUAUGUUUAUUACUUACUUCUUAUCCAGUCCACCCGUUGUCAUGGAUUCCAAAGUUAAUAAACCUGAGCCUAUGGGCAAAUGUUAUUAGGGAGUUAGUUGAUGUAUUGCAAUGGAGCCUAGAUGGAAAACCCAAAAAGGUGGUCUUCACUAUGAAGGAUAAGUGGUACUUUCUAUCAUUGUUAUUUUAAUGUUAAGUAGGAAUAUUUAUAAUGAUCCACGUGAUUGACUACAAUUAUGUUUUGUUUUUUAAUUUAAUAAUAGUGGUAUCAUUGUCAAUUGUACUCUAUGGGAGGAUUUUGCAUUCCUACUGAAAGAUUAUUUGGACAAACAUGAAAAUGGACCAGUUAUACUUCUACUUCAUUUGGCAAAAAUUAAGGAAGCACGAGUAUGAUUUAUGUAGAUAAAUUCUAGAUUAUAUUGUCAUUGCCUUAAUAAUCAUAUUACAUAUGUAGGGGCUUAUGUGGUGUCCAUUCAAAAUUCAAUGUAUGGUUCUAGACUAUUUAUCAAUGAAGAUUUGAAGGACAUUAAAGAUUAUAAAAAUGGGUAGUGAUUAUGAAACCAGACUUCUUUCUUCAAUAAAAAUGAAAAUGAGUAGUGAUUAUCCUUUUUCUUACUCUAUUGCAUAUUAGAUCCGAGUCAGCUAAGCGUUGUGACUUGCAGUCAAUGGUUGAGUCAAGUCUCUUAUUCUUUCCAACCUACUUCAAAGGAUAGAUUUCUUUAUAAUGCUCAAGUUAAAUCAUUGAGUGAACUUUGUGAGUUGAAAAAGGUACAUGUUAAUGGUUGCCAGGAUUGAUUUUGAUGAUUGAUUAUCUUUCACAAUUACCAAUAAUGUGAUGUUAAAAGUUUUAUAUAUUGUGUUUGCUAGGAAUGUGUUUUUGUGACUGUUGUCACAAUAACCAAGUUCUUAGUUGACAAUGGUUGGAUAUAUGAGAGUUGCCCAAAAUGUAACAAGAAAGUGGAAUUUGAGAAAUUUCCAUUCACCAGUCAAUGUUGUGGAAAUGAAAGUUCAACAACUGUGGCCAAGUUAUGUGUUUAAACUUGUGUUUCUUAUAUUAGACAUGUUAUGUAUAUGUUUCCAAUUCAUGCGUCAUUAAAUGAUUUAUGAUAACUUAAGUUAAAUCAUGCUAUACUAUAUAGGUUUCAGUUGGAAGUGAGAGUUGGCCAACCAAAUGAAACUACUAACUAUACUUUAUGGGAUCGUGAGUGCAAUGCACUCAUUAAAGAAAGUGCAAGUGAGAUUAAACAACAGAUUAUUAAUGAGGUGUAAACUAUAAUCUAAUAGCUUUAGUUGAUCAUCAUAAUCAGCUUGCAGUGUUUAUAUAUUUGAAUUUCAACUUCAUGUUAACCCUUGGCAGCAAGGUGAAUUUGAUCCAAAAGACAUUCCGAAGGCUAUUGAUAUGAUAUUGGGCAAAAAAUUAGCUUUUAGAUUUAAGGCUAUACCAAACAAUACCCGAUAUUCUGUCACAAAUCUCAGAGGAUGAAGAUCUAAUUAUGUUAUUAUUGAAGAGACUUCCUACAUAUGAGGUCAAUAUAAUUAAUAAUCUUUAUGGUUUGUAACAUGACACUUAUGAAUCUAAUUUUAUUAUUUUUUUAAUAUAGCUUGUUGGAAUUAAGCCUAAAAUGUCAAAUUAGUCUAUAAAGCAUGGAGAUGAUAUAGCCUACAUUGUAAAUUAUGGUUUAAUCUAUGUUUAUUAAUACUUAACUUACAGUGAAGGUAACAUCUAUUGCAUUUAUAUAUUGCCACAACAGUAAUCCUUAUCAGCCAGUGAAGAUUUUGAUCCUGAAUCAUCCAAGUCAGUAACUCCUACAAAGAGAGAAUUUCUUAUCUCUAAAUCUGAGUUGGAAUCAGUACCAUUUGAAGACCUGACAUCAAUUCAGUUAUCCUGUUCGAAAUUAUCCAAGCAUAUCAAGUCUGAAUAAAGCAUGAUUGGAUAAUAGGAUUUUGAAUCCUGCUUAUUUUCUGGGUUGUUUAAUGUUGCCUUUUGUGUGUUGUAAUAUCUCAAUAUUAAUGGUGAUGGUUCACCAAAACAAACUAUUUUAGGUGGUGGUGUAAUAUGUUAACAAUUAUGUUCUAUGUAGCAUGCUUAAUUUUUAAGAUAUAAGAUAUAUUUUUUUACUAUGAAA